This 144-nucleotide small RNA is filed under the name Arabidopsis thaliana (thale cress). Its description in RNAcentral is "ATSL265400". The record is from RNAcentral. Lineage: Eukaryota; Viridiplantae; Streptophyta; Magnoliopsida; Brassicales; Brassicaceae.
UGCUUCCCACUAAGCGCUUGUUUAUAGUCAAUAGCUUGACUUUGCAGUUGCUUAAUCAACAUGUGGGUCCUUAAGAUCCAAAGGCUUUUCUACUGGAAUCUCGGCUUCAGCCCAGUAGUGUUUGACUUUCUGUCCAUUCAUUGC